UUUAAUCCCUUGGUCUGGACCUCUGUGGGUUUCAAGCGCUUCUGUAACACUGCAGCCAACUUAUUACCUUACCCAUGCUGGGAGGAUGCUGGUGAGAGAGCUGGCAGUGUUAAACCCACAGAUUUUCAUGAAUGAGCAACACAUUUUCAUCUCUCAUGCUGGCACGAUGGUAUGGGAUGAACAGUUUUCUCAGCCUGAAGAGUAUGUGGAUGAGGAGGUUCGGCAGCAGCCCUGUCUGGC
Long non-coding RNA from Coregonus clupeaformis (lake whitefish), 240 nucleotides. RefSeq lists it as uncharacterized. The record is from RefSeq and is a predicted model, not a curated record. The transcript has 4 exons. NCBI's taxonomy places the organism in Eukaryota, Metazoa, Chordata, Actinopteri, Salmoniformes, Salmonidae.